This 6704-nucleotide long non-coding RNA is filed under the name Sus scrofa (pig). RNAcentral describes it as "lncRNA (ENSSSCG00000056751.1)". Lineage: Eukaryota; Metazoa; Chordata; Mammalia; Artiodactyla; Suidae. The record is from RNAcentral.
AAGCACUUCUAUAAGCUCCACCUCCCAGUCCUGUCCAUAGGUGAGACAGGAAGAUCAGGGGUGGCCGGAGUAGGGCAUUUCCCUUCUCCCGGUCAUUUAAGCUCUGGUAAAUGGUUUAUCUUGAGGUCAGGCCUUUGCUAAGGAGGACAGAGAGCUCUAGGUGUAUUUCAGAAUGAUUGCUUUCCUGUCUCCCUGCCAGAAGCCCUAAGGGGCAGGAGUGGUUUCCUCUAUUCCUCUGAUCUUCACCCUGAGAACCUGAUGAGGCUCCCAGAGGUAAAACUUACAAAGUGUGAAGUUUAUCCACACAGAACCUCCACCUAUUUGUCAAUGAUAGUUUAAGCGUUCCUACCAGUAUUAUCUCCAUCUGCAGGCUUUUGUUCCUGGGCUUCAGCUCCCUUAAUAUGUGAUUCUCAGUAUCUGCCUCUCUAGUUUUUGCAGUAGUGGUUUGCCAUGUAACCUCAAUUCUCAGAUCUAGAAAGAGUUUUUGAUUUUUCAGUUUGUUCAGUAUUUUUCUUGUUUUGAGAACAAGAGUGAUGGCUUCCAAGCUCUUUACAUGUCAGGCCAGUAACUGAAGUCCAAUGACAGAUUUAUAUUUCAUCUAGAGAGAGAACAGUAGUCCUGAUAUAGUUUAGCCACAUCCAAGGAAUGAAGUUCAAUUGUAGUAACCCUCACUUGAAAGAACAUAUCCAAAGAACAGUGAAUGGAAAAUAAAGCCAUGAGCAAAUAGGAAUUAUUAAAAGUCUGAAAACUGGUCUGACUCAGCAUUAGUACCACACUGGUUUCACCAUUCAGAGAAUUUAUCCAUGGUUGGUAAGCUAUCCUAAUGUCACUGCUUUCUAGAUCUAGAUGUAUAAAGUAUAUAAACAACACUGACAAUUUUUUUGUUACUUACAUAUACAUUAUAUAGUGAUUUCUAGAGAAAAACCAGGAAUUCUACCACAGAAAUAGAAAUGUUUGGUAAGCUCAGCCACUGUUGGUAGAAAUUCAGUAAGUACAUUCUUUCUCAUAGAUAAUAAUGGUAUAACAUUUGGUAAAGUAGAAGUACUAUGAUUCACCUGCCAUUGAAUUAGUGUCUCAGAAAAUACCAAGAAAUGCAUAUUAGAUGAUUCAAAGUCAAUAAAAGUUUACCACAAAGCAAACAUCAGACCCAAUACAACUUUACAGAGUAGUUCUACCACACAUUCAAGGAAAAAAAAAUAAUUUCACUUUUUCACAAAACUCUUGCAACAGGAUAGAGAAAGAGAAUAUACCCAAUCUCAUUUUAUGAGUUCAGCAUUUUAAUGUUCAAACCUAAUAAGAAUGGUCAAAUAAAUAAAAAUUAUGUAACAACCACACUCUUGAACAGUCAUGUAAAAUAUAAGUAAUUAAAUAAAGAUUUUGGAAAUUAGCACAAAGUAAUAUAUAAGUUAAUAAAUCAUGACUAAACUAAAUUUAUCCAAGUGUUGCAAUGUUGGUUUAAUAAUAGAAAAUUAACUAAUAUAAUAUUUCAUAUUAAAGGAAGAAAGGCAUAUGAAUACCUUAAUAGAUACAGAAAAAGUAUUUUUAAAAGUUCCAUAUUCAUGUAUGAUUUAAAAUAAAUUUUAGUAAAUUAGGAAAGCAUGAAACUUCAUUAAUUUUUAAAAAGGCAAACAAAACCACUCAAACAAAAAUGUACAGUAAACAUCAAAUCUAAAGAUGCAAUGUUGGAAAAAAUAAAGAUGUAAUGUUGAAGAUAUUUUCUUUAAGAUCAGGAAAAAGAUAAGGAUGCCUAUUACCAUGACUUCUAUUCAACCAUAGACUGUGGGAUUUAGUUAGUUCAACAAAAGUAGGGAGAAAAGAAAUAAAGGCAAUAAGGAAGGAUAAGAACCAAAGACUCAUUUUUGGUAGGUGAUAUAAUUUUCAUCUUAAUGUAGAAAAUCUAAAAGAAAUUCUAGAAAAAUUAAGACAUUUAAUUAGAAAGUUUGGCAAGUUUUUGACAUAAACAUCAAUAUAUAAAAGCCAGUUGUAUUUCUACAUCAGGAAUAGCCAUUAUAAAUCAGUUAUAAAUAAGGACAUUUUCAGUGGCAACUAAAAAUAUAAAAUAGGGAUAAUUCUAGCAAAAGGCAUGUAAACUUUUAUGAAAUUUUGCUAAAAAUCAUUAAGGAUGAUCUAAACAAGUAGAGAGAAAUAACCUGUUCUUAUAAAGACUCAGUUUUGCAUAGAUUAAGCUAUAGAUUUAGUGACUUUAGGGACUUCGCAUAAAAAUCCCAAAAUGAUUUUAGAGGGUACUGUGGAGCUGCAGGGACUGGUAGUUUGUAGGAGGUAGUAGAGGACACAGGGAACUGGGAACAUGCUGGAUCAAGUGGAUCAAGUUGUAAAAUUAGGUAACAGAGACUUUUUUCAUUUGGGAACACAUUUCUACAUUAUAUGAUUUAAUCCCUUAGUGAGGACUCCAGGAGACAAUGUUAACACACUGCUAGGACAGUUCUUCGAUGUCUGCAAAAACCAGUAGCACUGAAUAAGUGAAGUAUAAGCACCAGAAUUGCCAUGGCAGGGAGCAGAGGAAGGGAUCAAAAUAUUCACAGAAGUGGACAUUCAAAAAUGGAUACAGUAUAUAAGGCCAAAAAUCCUAUCUACUAACUAUAUUCUACACAAGGGCUGGGAGGAUCCUCCAUUUAUUUAGAACAAUAACGAAUAUGCUGGUGAGACAGGCACCAGCAUCAUUGAGAAGCUCUUCUCUUUAAGCGCAGAACUGUCAUUACAAAACUGGGAUUGCAGAUAACGAUGGGGGUGAUCCCAAAGUACUAGGGACCAGGAGUUGUGGCUUAAACAUUAGGACAGAGGGGAGCACAGUUUUCACAAAAUAUAACAAGUUAGAAUGGUAAUCAGAAGCAGCCAUGGAGAUAUUUAACAGAAUACAGUCUUCCAAGAGGCCCAAGAGAUGGACACUUUUCUGAUCCAGACCCACUGAGCGUAGGCAGAGCCUGGGUGGCUCAGAGAUAGUAUCCUACAACAUUAUAGCAUCACAGCACUUGGUGGUAAUUUUCCUAGUCCUUCCUCAAAGGAUAUAAAGGCCAUUUGCCAGCACGAAGAGGAAAAAUCCAAAUACAUUGAGGAUUGCUGGACACAAGAACUGAGUCGGCCUAAAGUUGCAAAUGGUCCCCUUUUCAGGAUGAGGCAAGGUAGAAGUGAAGUAAUAAAAGGAAUUCUGACCCUGGACCAACUCUAAAGUGUGCAGGGGUGGUAAUAUCUACCAUAUACACAUUUACUUCACUUCUGUGGCCCCUACAGAAGCUAGAUAGAUCCUGCUGGGUGAUAGUAGGCCACUGCAAACUAACCAAGGCCUACCCCUAGUCAUAGUUUCUGUGCUGGAUGAGGUAUCUUUGCUAAAGCAAAUUAACACAGCUUUAGGUACAUGGUAUCUUUAAUUCACAAUAACAUCCAUCAAUGAGUAUUCACCAUAAAAGAAAUGUUAUACAGCCAAUAAAUAGAAUGGCAUAAACAACUGAUCUCAUCCAGCCUCUGCCAUUGGUUGCCUUAAUGCUAAUACAAUGGGUUCAAAAAUGAAGUAGCUACGGCUAUACCCAAGAAGAAGUGUUCCUACUCAUCAAAGCCAAUCUGGCUACUGCUGCUACUAGACACUCAGUCUUCUAGCAACAGAAGCCAAUCCUAAGCUAUGAAUUUAGUAUAUCCCUCAAGGAGAGCCAGCAGCCAUUUGGUGGUAAGUUGAUUACAUUAGACCUGUUGUCCAUUGAAUUGUGUCCCCCAAAAAAGAUAUACUUAAGUCCUAGAAUGUGGUAUCUGUGCACAUGAUCUUGUUUGAAAAUAAGGCCUUGAAGAUGUAUUCAAAUAAGUUAAGGUGGAGUAUAGUGGACCCUUAAUCCAAUAUGAUUGUUAUGCUUAAAAGAGGAGAAGAAACACAGAGACACAGAGAAGAAUGACAUGAGAAGACACAGACAUGGAGGUAAGAUAGGCCUGUGACCACAGAGGCAGAGAUGGAAAUUAUGUAGCUGUAAACUAAAGAAUGCAAAGGAUUGCUAACAACACAAGAAGCUAGGAGAGAGAGAAAAUGGCCCUGACAUCACCUUUUUGCUAGACCUCUAGCCUGCAGAAUUGUAAGAGAAUAAUUUUCUGUUAUUUUAAUCCAUCCAGUUUGUGGUCAUUCAUUACUGUGGCCCUAAAAACUAAUACAGGACACUUUACCCUUGGCAAGGGCAGUGAUUUACUUAUCUAGGAUUGACACAUAUGAUGGGUAUGGUUUGCCUUUCCAGGAAAACUGAAAGCUUACAGUGAUUCACCAACAUAGAACACAGAAUUCUACCUAACACUGCCUUGGACCAAGGGUCCCUCUUUACAGAAAAGGUGGUACAGUGGUUGACACAUGUCCAUGGGAUCCAUGGGUCCUAUCACAAAAUAUACUACCCAGAAUAUACUGGCCUAAAAGAGUGGCCUUUUGAAGGUACAGCUGACACAUUAACUUGAAGAAGGGAUGCCAUCCUCCAGGAUAUAUCUCUUCAACCUGUAAGUCCAGCACUCCUGGAUCCCAGAGAGUGAGUGUUUUCACUAAGAAAACAGCUAGCGUUUUAUUGAAUUUUAAAUUAUGGCUACUGCCCAGUCCCUGAAGACCUCUUACAUCCAGUGAACAGCAGACAAAGAAAAUGUUUAAUUGACUCUGCUCAUCAUUAGGAGGAGGCAGAGCUGCUACUAUACCAGGCAAGGAAGAAUAAGUUUGGUACAUAGGUGAUCCAUUGUAUUAUCUAUUGCCCAAUUUUGACAAUAAAUUGAGAAGUUUGGGAGUCAUGUCUUGAGAAGGGCAUAAUCAGAGUCUCAAAUCUUUAAGGAUGAGGGUCUUGGCCAUGGCUUGUAUAAGUCACCUGGACCAGUGGAGGUGAUGGUAAAGGACGAGGAGAAUCUAGAAAGGGUGGUAGAGAAGGGGAAUUAGAAGUUACACCCUUGAGUAACUUGAGUAAUUAGUUACUUGCAUAAUUUGGCAUGAUGGGCAGUUAAUUCUGCUAGCCUUCCUCUUGUAAAUUUCUCCUCAAAAUAGAACAAGCAGAAUCCUGAAGGAUCCUGACUGUAAUAGGUACUAUAGUGCAUAACCUGAAUCCACCAAGGCACUCAUUCCCCAAGCUACCUGGACUGCUGACUGCUAACAGUUUAUAACUGACUGUCUCUGUAAGAAUUGCUUUUGGCUGAAGGGAGUUGCCUUACCCCAGUAGCAGAAGCAGUCCAGAUGGAACAUUUGAAAGAUGUGGGGGUUAAGCAGUCUGGCCCAUUUAAUUUAAUUAGGGACAUCUCUGAAGAGUCCAUGCAACUCCAGAGCUCCUCUUGAUAUCUACGGAAGCCUCUAAUAAAAUUGCAUCACAGUUAAAUGUCUCCCUCUGCCCCAUCCUGCUUGUCUCACUCCUUCCCAGGUGCUGAUUGCAAGGGCAUAAACUCCUGCACAUGAAUCCCCAUCUGAAUCUAUUUCUCAGGGAACUCAAGCCAACACAAAGGUUUAUUGUGGAAUUUGAGAAGCUGAUCCUAAGCUUUAUAUGAAAGAGCAAUAUUCAAGAUAAGUCAAGAAGUUGCUAGAGAAGAACAACUUUUGGGAAAUAGGUAGUGGUGUUGGGAGAGUCCUACACUAUCACAAGUCAAGACUUAUAAAGAUGCAGGAAAUAAGACAGUAUAAAUUUCCCUACAGAAGCAGAUAAAUAGCUAAUGAAGCAGAAUAGAAAAAUGGACAUAAACUCAAACAUACAUGAAAACUUGAAUCAUGAGAGCUCAUUGAAGGAAGAUAAACUAUUGAAUAAAUAUAUGGUGAGAAUUCACUGUCUCAUACUAUAUGCAAAACUAAAAUCCAAUUGAAUUAAUGUCAUAUAUGGAAGACAAAACUCUAAAACUUUUAGGUGGCAACACAGGAGAGUAUCUUUUUGACAUCCAGAUAGAGAAGGAUUUUCUAAACAGGAAAUUAAACAGCAUACCAUAAAGGAAGAGGUUAAUAAGUUUGACUAUAAUAUUAAGAACUCCUUGUCAUCAAGUCACCGUAAACAAAAUUAAAAAGUCAUAAACUAGAAAAAUACAUUUGAAAUUCAUACAAGUACAAAAGAGUAGUAUCUAGAAUAUAUAAAGAAACCCUACAGAUCAAUUAAAAACUAAAAUUUCUUUUUCCAAAACAAAAGACAUAAGCAAAUAUCUUUUAUGACAUAAAUACAAAUAUUUUAAAACAUUUUAUAAUAAAAUAAAAUUGCCUAAAAGUUUAUAUCAUCCAUACAUACAGACGUUUAGGCAGGAAAGGUAUUUGUUGGUUUUCAGACUCUUAAUGUAGACCACUCAUGCCUUUUGUUCACCUAUGUAUAUUUCUUUAUAGUUUUCCAGAGAUUUUAAUCCUCAUGAAAAUCUCACCUUAAAAAUAUUCUUAACCUAUUAUUUAACCUAUUUCUUAAUAAAAAAAAUUGGUUUCAUAUCAACUAUAUUUUCAAGCACAAUUCUUGAAAACAAUUAAAAUUCUGCAUCAUGCUUAAGAAGCACACGUUGGAGUUCCCGUCGUGGAGCAGUGGAAGUGAAUCUGACCAGGAACCAUGAGGUUGUGGGUUUGAUCCCUGGCAUUGCUCAGUGAGUUAAGGAUCUGGCGUUGCCAUGAGCUGUGGUGUAGGUUGCAGAUUCGGCUCCCAUCUGGCGUUGUUGUGGCUCUGGCGUAGGCAGGUGGCUACAGGUCUGAUUAGACCCCUAGUCUGGAAAUCUCCAUAUGCCACAGGUAUGGCCCU